RNAcentral lists this ribosomal RNA (226 nucleotides) under uncultured bacterium. RNAcentral describes it as "partial 16S ribosomal RNA". It matches the Rfam family "Bacterial small subunit ribosomal RNA", at positions 524 to 751 of the family's 1533-position model. The record is from RNAcentral.
UACGUAGGGUGCAAGCGUUAAUCGGAAUUACUGGGCGUAAAGCGUGCGCAGGCGGUUCGCUAAGACAGAUGUGAAAUCCCCGGGCUUAACCUGGGAACUGCAUUUGUGACUGGCGGGCUAGAGUAUGGCAGAGGGGGGUAGAAUUCCACGUGUGGCAGUGAAAUGCGUAGAGAUGUGGAGGAAUACCGAUGGCGAAGGCAGCCCCUGGGCCGAAUGACACUCGACG